Molecule: transfer RNA, 72 nt
Filed under: Bos taurus (domestic cattle)
Lineage: Eukaryota; Metazoa; Chordata; Mammalia; Artiodactyla; Bovidae
Rfam family: tRNA
About the family: Transfer RNA (tRNA) molecules are approximately 80 nucleotides in length. Their secondary structure includes four short double-helical elements and three loops (D, anti-codon, and T loops).
Source: Rfam by way of RNAcentral
UCCCUGGUGGCUCAAAUGGUAAAGUGUCUGUCUACAAUGCAGGAGACCCAGGUUUGAUCCCUGGGCUGGGAA